CAGUCGCCACGGUAAUACAGAGGGUGCAAGCGUUAAUCGGAAUUACUGGGCGUAAAGCGCGCGUAGGUGGUUUGUUAAGUUGGAUGUGAAAUCCCCGGGCUCAACCUGGGAACUGCAUUCAAAACUGACUGACUAGAGUAUGGUAGAGGGUGGUGGAAUUUCCUGUGUAGCGGUGAAAUGCGUAGAUAUAGGAAGGAACACCAGUGGCGAAGGCGACCACCUGGACUAAUACUGACACUGAGGUGCGAAAGCGUGGGGAGCAAACAGGAUUAGAUACCCCGGUAGUCCCUGUCUCUUAUAC
This 301-nucleotide ribosomal RNA is filed under the name uncultured bacterium. Its description in RNAcentral is "partial 16S ribosomal RNA". It matches the Rfam family "Bacterial small subunit ribosomal RNA", at positions 509 to 807 of the family's 1533-position model. The record is from RNAcentral.